ACCCGGUGGCUUGUCAUUGUUGACAACAAUAAUUUCACACUGACGGAAUUCAAAAGCACAAUUCUUGUUCUUUCAUAAUUUGGUCAGAUAAUUGGAUGUGUAGUGUCAGCAUUUGUUGCUGGCAUAUCAUAACUAAGUUUGCUUACCUUGCCAAUUAAAAUUUCUUAGGGCUAGGCCCCUUUUUUCUCAAUUUCGCCUGCAUGACGUGCCCAAAGUAAUCUGCCUGGUGAAGCCAGGAUAUGCACAUAAUUGGUACCAUUGAAAGAAAACACUUUGAAGUUGAAGUUUGUAGAAAUGUUAAAAUAAUGUAUGCGACUAUAACACAAUAGAUAUGGUUGGAGAAAAUCCAAAGAAAAACCAACCAGAAUAAAAAAAAAUUGAGAGACCAUCCUAAUUUUAAAGAUUAGCUCUCUGGAUGCAAUUCCUAUGGCUUCCACAGGGUGUCAGAAGUCUAUGUUCAAGGUUUUAGGCUUGUAACUUCAAAAACUAAGAAGAAAUCUAAGUUUUAUCAAAGGGACACAGUCUUGGAAAUUUGUACUAUGAAGACAGAACGCACCUGCUAAAAUCGGUUUCCUAUUGAACAUACUUCUUUCCAUAAGACAGUUUGAUUACAUUUUAGGGUGUCUGAGGAGUGUAUAGAAACGUAUUUUGACUUGUUGAAACAAAGGUUUUCGGAUUCAUUUCUCUGCAUGUUGAUCAGUGGAUUACUUAAAUCGAUUGUGCAACCUAAACAGACUUUAUGGGAUAUAAAGAAGGAUUUUAUCUAACAAAACGACACCACAUGUUAUAGCUGGGACCCGUUAGAUGACAAGUCAGAGGAAGAUUUUCAAAAAGUAAGUGAAUAUUUAAUCGCUAUUUGUGAAUUUAUGAAACCUGUGUUGAUGGAAAAAUAUUUUGACGUGGGGCGCCGUCCUCAAACAAUCGCAUGGCAUGUUUUUGCUGUAAUAGCUACUGUUAAUCAGAGAUAGAUGAAGAAGAAUCUUUCAACCAAUACAAGACACGUAGAUGUACCUAAAUGUUUAAAAUCCAUAAAUUUUACGAUUAUUUACUUGAAUUGCUCCAGUUUCACCAGAAGUUGUCCCACUAGCCCUAAGAAGCUCUGAUUGAACCAGGUUGUAAAGUGUUGAUAACUGUAUCUCUGAUUGAACCAUGUUGUAAAGUGUUGAUAACUGUAUCUCUGAUUGAACCAUGUUGUAAAGUGUUGAUAACUGUAUCUCUGAUUGAACCAUGUUGUAAAGUGUUGAUAACUGUAUCUCUGAUUGAACCAUGUUGUAAAGUGUUGAUAACUACGUCUGAUUGAACCAUGUUGUAAAGUGUUGAUAACUGUAUCUCUGAUUGAACCAUGUUGUAAAGUGUUGAUAUCUGUAUCUCUGAUUGAACCAUGUUGUAAAGUGUUGAUAACUACGUCUGAUUGAACCAUGUUGUAAAGUGUUGAUAACUGUAUCUCUGAUUGAACCAUGUUGUAAAGUGUUGAUAUCUGUAUCUCUGAUUGAACCAUGUUGUAAAGUGUUGAUAACUGUAUCUCUGAUUGAACCAUGUUGUAAAGUGUUGAUAACUGUAUCUCUGAUUGAACCAUGUUGUAAAGUGUUGAUAACUGUAUCUCUGAUUGAACCAUGUUGUAAAGUGUUGAUAACUGUAUCUCUGAUUGAACCAUGUUGUAAAGUGUUGAUAACUGUAUCUCUGAUUGAACCAUGUUGUAAAGUGUUGAUAACUGUAUCUCUGAUUGAACCAUGUUGUAAAGUGUUGAUAACUGUAACUCUGAUUGAACCAUGUUGUAAAGUAUUGAUAACUGUAUCUCUGAUUGAACCAUGUUGUAAAGUGUUGAUAACUGUAUCUCUGAUUGAACCAUGUUGUAAAGUGUUGAUAACUGUAUCUCUGAUUGAACCAUGUUGUAAAGUGUUGAUAACUGUAUCUCUGAUUGAACCAUGUUGUAAAGUGUUGAUAACUGUAUCUCUGACUGAACCAUGUUGUAAAGUGUUGAUAACUGUAUCUCUGAUUGAACCAUGUUGUAAAGUGUUGAUAACUGUAUCUCCGAUUGAACCAUGUUGUAAAGUGUUGAUAACUGUAUCUCUGACUGAACCAUGUUGUAAAGUGUUGAUAACCAAUUUGUAAGUCGCUCUGGAUAAGAGCGUCUGCUAAAUGACUUAAAUGUAAUGUAAUGUAAUGUAAAUGAUAACUGUCUGUUUAGGGUAAACCAGGAUACCCAGGAAGACCCACCAAGACCAAUUAGGUGACCGUGUUGAAGAAGAGUGAGGCUGAGAUCACCUGAUCACCAUAACAACCAUCAGAAUGGAACUCAUGGAAUUCUAAUAUAGAACUGUGAGUCACAAUGUUGUAUGUUGUUACAUUGUAGCUCCACCUGCUGGAACAAUAGUGGCAUUUGAUCAAAUGUGAUCUAUUAACUGAUACAUGUAUUAUUCUGAUUGGAAUGUGUUUUAAUAUGUGUGUUGUAUUAUUCAUUCAGCAGCUGUCCUUUAACAUCAGUCAUAUACUGGUCAUAUACUGUAUAGCAUUAUGGUUGAUACAUUGUAAAUGCCUUCACUUCUCAUGUCUAUACAGAUCAACUGAUAGGUGUUGUGGUUCAGGCAUUAUUGUUACAGGUUCAGUAUAAUGUUAUACCGUUACAUGUUACAGAGAUAGAAAACAUACAGGAGAGGAGAAUUCAAUUAUUACAAUUAUUUACUUCCCAUUUUGGUCUCAUGUUAUUUUGUUUAAACAUAACUAAUGUAGGGCUUUUGUUUCAUUGUGGUUGUUUUGUGCAAAACCAUUAUUUUUCUAUGAGUCAUCCUGGUAAGAUUAUUGCUUUUGUCUUUGUAGCAAAUAGAAAUAAAUAAGUGAUUUUCCUCAA
This is a long non-coding RNA of Oncorhynchus nerka (sockeye salmon), 2848 nucleotides long. RefSeq lists it as uncharacterized. NCBI's taxonomy places the organism in Eukaryota, Metazoa, Chordata, Actinopteri, Salmoniformes, Salmonidae. The record is from RefSeq and is a predicted model, not a curated record. The transcript has 2 exons.